This 158-nucleotide unclassified non-coding RNA is filed under the name uncultured Ascomycota. Its description in RNAcentral is "sequence contains ITS2". Lineage: Eukaryota; Fungi; Ascomycota. The record is from RNAcentral.
CACCACUUAAGCCCUGUUGCUUAGCGUUGGGGGCCUACGGCACUGCCUGUAGCCCCUUAAAGUGAUUGGCGGAGUUGGUUCUCACUCUAAGCGUAGUAAUUCUUUCUCGCUUCUGUAGUGGUCCCUUCCCCUGCCGUAAAACUUACUUUGUAAACACU